This 269-nucleotide signal recognition particle RNA is filed under the name Candidatus Altarchaeales archaeon WOR_SM1_86-2. RNAcentral's name for it is "Candidatus Altiarchaeales archaeon WOR_SM1_86-2 signal recognition particle sRNA". It matches the Rfam family "Archaeal signal recognition particle RNA". The record is from RNAcentral. Lineage: Archaea; Nanobdellati; Candidatus Altarchaeota; Candidatus Altarchaeia; Candidatus Altarchaeales.
UGGUGGACUAGAUGGGGGGCUAGGCGUCCCCUGUAUUCCAAAUCGCCUAUACGGGAAAUCGAAGUCUAAGGGCGAUAUACCGACAAGCGGGUGGUCCAUGGUCCCAACUGUGAACUUUCGUCCUGCAGGGUUUCUUUGUAUGGGAACCGUGUCAGACUGGGAACAGAGCAGCACUAACCGUACCAAGGGGCGCUUACGGGGUAACGGGAGCGAGAAAGGGCAUGGGAAGCCAUUCUCUUGAAGGUGUAUCCACCUUGACGCGUCCAUCA